Non-coding RNA from Notechis scutatus (mainland tiger snake), 611 nucleotides. The record is from RefSeq and is a predicted model, not a curated record. Lineage: Eukaryota; Metazoa; Chordata; Lepidosauria; Squamata; Elapidae.
UCUGUUAUAGGUAUUUGUCUUCUGAUUCUACAUUUGCUACUCCUGUAUUUUGGCACAUAAGGAAGUCAAAUCACACCAGCCCAAUAACUUCUCUGAUGGUUUGGUAUGUUCCCUCAGCUUUUGGUGAAGAACAUCUGACAGAGGGAAGACUUGUCUGAUUAUUACUGUUGCCAGACAAAAUCCAAGCAACCUUUAAGGACCAAUUUCAGAGAGACUUCUGCCUUAGGCUUGAGGCAUGAGGAGAAUAAUGUUCUGGCUUCUUCUACAUUGACAUAGUUUUCUUGAAACUUCUGGCCUCCAGAUGUGAUGGACCUCAACUUCUAUCACUCAUGUCAGUCUAUCAAGAAUUAUGGUGACUGUAAAGCAAGAGACAGAACCUUCUGACUAAUUAUAUUAUUGUUCUAAUGUGUUAUAAGCUAUCUCAGAAAUCAAUGGGAGAAACAGCAAGAAAGAAGAUCUUAAAAUCAAAAGGCUUCUUUUCAAAGAAAUAGCACAAAAAAUUAGAUUACAAUAUGUUUGCCUCCGAGAUGCUGACUUUUUGGUGUAUCUUGAGCUUGUCUACUAUUUGAAUCAUUCUGCAUUUUUCCCUUUUUAUUCUAGCCUUGCUGUGA